GUCAAAGAACAAAAUUAUAAUAGCCUUUCAAGACGUCAUAAUUAUUUGGACUAGUUGUAAACAUGCAACCUGUUCUUCGGACUGUCAAGAUAUUCUGUGAUUGUAAACAAACACACGAUUGUCGAAGCGAGUGAGAUAUAAAGAUAUUCUAUUACACAUGUGUUUUUUUUUGUUUUUUUUUGUAUCAGUAGUAUGUCGAAGACCUAAAACAUAAGUUCGAAAAGCAGCGAAAUUUGCUCUAAGACUAGGAUUAAAAGUGAACUAAGCGGACGUCUUCUAUUGUGUAAACCAGAAAUAAAUUGGCUAAAGUUAAGCUAAGAUAUAUUAA
RNAcentral lists this long non-coding RNA (328 nucleotides) under Mytilus galloprovincialis (Mediterranean mussel). The record is from RNAcentral. Lineage: Eukaryota; Metazoa; Mollusca; Bivalvia; Mytilida; Mytilidae.